AAGCAUAUAAAAUGGAGUUUUCGGACAAAGUUUUAUAUGACUUAGUGGCGGACGGGUGAGUAACGCGUGAGUAACCUGCCUUACACAGGGGGAUAACAGUCAGAAAUGACUGCUAAUACCGCAUAAGCGCACAGGGCCGCAUGGUCUGGUGUGAAAAGUAAUUCGGUGUAAGAUGGACUCGCGUCUGAUUAGCUAGUUGGUGAGGUAACGGCUCACCAAGGCGACGAUCAGUAGCCGACUUGAGAGAGUGAUCGGCCACAUUGGGACUGAGACACGGCCCAAACUCCUACGGGAGGCAGCAGUGGGGAAUAUUGCACAAUGGGGGAAACCCUGAUGCAGCGACGCCGCGUGAGCGAUGAAGUAUUUCGGUAUGUAAAGCUCUAUCAGCAAGGAAGAUAAUGACGGUACUUGACUAAGAAGCCCCGGCUAACUACGUGCCAGCAGCCGCGGUAAUACGUAGGGGGCAAGCGUUAUCCGGAUUUACUGGGUGUAAAGGGAGCGUAGACGGUCAGGCAAGUCUGAUGUGAAAGCCCGGGGCUCAACCCCGGAAUUGCAUUGGAAACUGCUUGACUAGAGUGCAGGAGAGGUAAGUGGAAUUCCUAGUGUAGCGGUGAAAUGCGUAGAUAUUAGGAGGAACACCAGUGGCGAAGGCGGCUUACUGGACUGUAACUGACGUUGAGGCUCGAAAGCGUGGGGAGCAAACAGGAUUAGAUACCCUGGUAGUCCACGCUGUAAACGAUGAAUACUAGUGGUCGGGGAGCGAUAGCUCUUUGGUGCCGCAGCUAACGCAAUAAGUAUUCCACCUGGGGAGUACGUUCGCAAGAAUGAAACUCAAAGGAAUUGACGGGGACCCCGCACAGCGGUGGAG
This 868-nucleotide ribosomal RNA is filed under the name uncultured bacterium. Its description in RNAcentral is "bacterial SSU rRNA". It matches the Rfam family "Bacterial small subunit ribosomal RNA", at positions 55 to 937 of the family's 1533-position model. The record is from RNAcentral.